Oncorhynchus tshawytscha (Chinook salmon) is the source of this 1373-nucleotide long non-coding RNA. The record is from Ensembl. NCBI's taxonomy places the organism in Eukaryota, Metazoa, Chordata, Actinopteri, Salmoniformes, Salmonidae.
CAGAGACAAUGAUAAACAGCUGCCUCUGAUUGGGAACCAUAUCAGGCCACCAUAGAAAUACAAAUUCACCUAGAUGAGGCUCCCAAGUCACUAUCCCACCCCAACCAACACAGAGAAUAACACAGCUUACUAUGGUCAGGGUGUGACAAAUACCCUAAUAUUGAUACAAUCAAGUACCCAUAUCCUAGCCCCAAAUGCCAUAUUUGUUACUCAUAGACCCCAGUUCCUUUGCCAAUACACCUCAUCCAUGUUACUUGCCUAUCUCAGCCAUGUUACCCACUUUCAUUUGGCCUGUAUUCCCCACGUCACCAACAGUAACCUAUCAAGCUAGUCGCUGUACAUCCCAACCCUGUCAUUUGCAUAUCUUAGUCCUACGACCUUAACCUGUACACGCUAAUCAUUUCCUACCACAAAAUUAUUGCCAGAAAGGAUUUUAAAUGGGCAAUAGAGGUCCAUCCAGACCCAUUACCUGAAUUGAGCCUUGUGUAUCUCUACACCCCAUGACUCAUAUAAACCAGAUCGAUACAUGGGUUCUCCAUAUAAAAACAGGUCUACCCCAGUGCCCAAACAUUCAUACAAACCUGGUCGACACUUGUACUUCAGCCCCAAUAUUCUUACAGACCAGGUGUACACCUGCAAGUCUAACCCAAUAUUCUUUACAGACCAGGUGUAGACCUGCAAGUCUAACCCAAUAUUCUUUACAGACCAGGUGUACACCUGCAAGUCUAACCCAAUAUUCUUUACAGACCAGGUGUACACCUGCAAGUCUAACCCAAUAUUCUUUACAGACCAGGUGUACACCUGCAAGUCUAACCCAGUAUUCUUUACAGACCAGGUGUACACCUGCAAGUCUAACCCAAUAUUGAAAAACAAAAAGUCUACUGCUACAUGUCAGCCCCAUGUGUCAUAGAAAUAGGUGUACUUCUGCAUUUCAGACAUACAAACCAGGUCUACACCUGUACUUCAGAUGCAAUUUACAUACCUACAAAGUCUGCACCUAUGCUUGAACUCAAUUAGUCAACUAAGCCAGGUCUAAAUGUGUUGAAGCCUGAACUGUAAACCAGGUCUAUCCCUGCACCUCAGCUCCAGUACUCCUACAAAUCAGGUCUACACCUUUGACCGAGUCCCAACACUAAUAUAAACCAGAUCCACACUAAUUCAGUAUUAUGGGUCUAUAUAUGGCCAAUUCCUUCUGAAAUAACAAAAUCACUGAUUUAAACAUACACUACCGGUCAAAAGCUUCAGAACACCUACUCAUUCCAGGGUAUUUCUUUAUUUUUAUUAUUUUCUACACUGUAGAAUAAUAGUGAAGACAUCAACACUAUGAAAUAACACAUAAGGAAUCAUGUAGUAACCAAAAAAAAGUGUUAAAC